Molecule: ribosomal RNA, 397 nt
Filed under: uncultured bacterium
Lineage: Bacteria
Description: partial 16S ribosomal RNA
Rfam family: Bacterial small subunit ribosomal RNA
Source: RNAcentral
AUACGUAGGGGGCGAGCGUUGUCCGGAAUGAUUGGGCGUAAAGGGCGCGUAGGCGGCCCGGUAAGUCUGGAGUGAAAGUCCUGCUUUUAAGGUGGGAAUUGCUUUGGAUACUGUCGGGCUUGAGUGCAGGAGAGGUAAGUGGAAUUCCCAGUGUAGCGGUGAAAUGCGUAGAGAUUGGGAGGAACACCAGUGGCGAAGGCGGCUUACUGGACUGUAACUGACGCUGAGGCGCGAAAGUGUGGGGAGCAAACAGGAUUAGAUACCCUGGUAGUCCACACUGUAAACGAUGAAGGCUAGGUGUAGGGGGUAUCGACCCCUUCUGUGCCGCAGUAAACACAAUAAGCAUUCCGCCUGGGGAGUACGGCCGCAAGGUUGAAACUCAAAGGAAUUGACGGGG